GACUGAGCCGGGGCGCCUCGCAUGCGUCUCCCCCGGAGAUGACCGGCGACCGUGAGUGCCUGGCACCCUCGCGCCCCUCCUGCAGCAGGACAGCAGACACUCAGAUGAUUCAAGGUCCUUGUCACACUUAAGGUUACUCCCAAGGCUUGAACCUAGACUGGAGAUCUCUGGCUUCCCCUGAGAACUCUCUCCCAGUUGGAAUUUUCACAGCCUUGGCUCCUUCUGCCUGCAGCUGCCUAAGAGCCCAGGAUAACAAAUGCAGACGGUUCUUCAUACAGUCUUCCUGAAGAAGCAGAAAUCUGGCCAGAUCAACAGACCACUGCAUCCCCUGAGGCUAAAGUCUACAGUAUCUUUGUGCCCAUUAAAGUUAUGAAAAGCUAUUCUUACUUAGUUA
Long non-coding RNA from Bubalus bubalis (water buffalo), 394 nucleotides. RefSeq lists it as uncharacterized. NCBI's taxonomy places the organism in Eukaryota, Metazoa, Chordata, Mammalia, Artiodactyla, Bovidae. The transcript is spliced from 3 exons. The record is from RefSeq and is a predicted model, not a curated record.